RNAcentral lists this ribosomal RNA (2904 nucleotides) under Escherichia coli. RNAcentral describes it as "23S ribosomal RNA". It matches the Rfam family "Bacterial large subunit ribosomal RNA". Lineage: Bacteria; Pseudomonadati; Pseudomonadota; Gammaproteobacteria; Enterobacterales; Enterobacteriaceae. The record is from RNAcentral.
GGUUAAGCGACUAAGCGUACACGGUGGAUGCCCUGGCAGUCAGAGGCGAUGAAGGACGUGCUAAUCUGCGAUAAGCGUCGGUAAGGUGAUAUGAACCGUUAUAACCGGCGAUUUCCGAAUGGGGAAACCCAGUGUGAUUCGUCACACUAUCAUUAACUGAAUCCAUAGGUUAAUGAGGCGAACCGGGGGAACUGAAACAUCUAAGUACCCCGAGGAAAAGAAAUCAACCGAGAUUCCCCCAGUAGCGGCGAGCGAACGGGGAGGAGCCCAGAGCCUGAAUCAGUGUGUGUGUUAGUGGAAGCGUCUGGAAAGGCGCGCGAUACAGGGUGACAGCCCCGUACACAAAAAUGCACAUAUUGUGAGCUCGAUGAGUAGGGCGGGACACGUGGUAUCCUGUCUGAAUAUGGGGGGACCAUCCUCCAAGGCUAAAUACUCCUGACUGACCGAUAGUGAACCAGUACCGUGAGGGAAAGGCGAAAAGAACCCCGGCGAGGGGAGUGAAAAAGAACCUGAAACCGUGUACGUACAAGCAGUGGGAGCACGCUUAGGCGUGUGACUGCGUACCUUUUGUAUAAUGGGUCAGCGACUUAUAUUCUGUAGCAAGGUUAACCGAAUAGGGGAGCCGAAGGGAAACCGAGUCUUAACUGGGCGUUAAGUUGCAGGGUAUAGACCCGAAACCCGGUGAUCUAGCCAUGGGCAGGUUGAAGGUUGGGUAACACUAACUGGAGGACCGAACCGACUAAUGUUGAAAAAUUAGCGGAUGACUUGUGGCUGGGGGUGAAAGGCCAAUCAAACCGGGAGAUAGCUGGUUCUCCCCGAAAGCUAUUUAGGUAGCGCCUCGUGAAUUCAUCUCCGGGGGUAGAGCACUGUUUCGGCAAGGGGGUCAUCCCGACUUACCAACCCGAUGCAAACUGCGAAUACCGGAGAAUGUUAUCACGGGAGACACACGGCGGGUGCUAACGUCCGUCGUGAAGAGGGAAACAACCCAGACCGCCAGCUAAGGUCCCAAAGUCAUGGUUAAGUGGGAAACGAUGUGGGAAGGCCCAGACAGCCAGGAUGUUGGCUUAGAAGCAGCCAUCAUUUAAAGAAAGCGUAAUAGCUCACUGGUCGAGUCGGCCUGCGCGGAAGAUGUAACGGGGCUAAACCAUGCACCGAAGCUGCGGCAGCGACGCUUAUGCGUUGUUGGGUAGGGGAGCGUUCUGUAAGCCUGUGAAGGUGUGCUGUGAGGCAUGCUGGAGGUAUCAGAAGUGCGAAUGCUGACAUAAGUAACGAUAAAGCGGGUGAAAAGCCCGCUCGCCGGAAGACCAAGGGUUCCUGUCCAACGUUAAUCGGGGCAGGGUGAGUCGACCCCUAAGGCGAGGCCGAAAGGCGUAGUCGAUGGGAAACAGGUUAAUAUUCCUGUACUUGGUGUUACUGCGAAGGGGGGACGGAGAAGGCUAUGUUGGCCGGGCGACGGUUGUCCCGGUUUAAGCGUGUAGGCUGGUUUUCCAGGCAAAUCCGGAAAAUCAAGGCUGAGGCGUGAUGACGAGGCACUACGGUGCUGAAGCAACAAAUGCCCUGCUUCCAGGAAAAGCCUCUAAGCAUCAGGUAACAUCAAAUCGUACCCCAAACCGACACAGGUGGUCAGGUAGAGAAUACCAAGGCGCUUGAGAGAACUCGGGUGAAGGAACUAGGCAAAAUGGUGCCGUAACUUCGGGAGAAGGCACGCUGAUAUGUAGGUGAAGCGACUUGCUCGUGGAGCUGAAAUCAGUCGAAGAUACCAGCUGGCUGCAACUGUUUAUUAAAAACACAGCACUGUGCAAACACGAAAGUGGACGUAUACGGUGUGACGCCUGCCCGGUGCCGGAAGGUUAAUUGAUGGGGUCAGCGCAAGCGAAGCUCUUGAUCGAAGCCCCGGUAAACGGCGGCCGUAACUAUAACGGUCCUAAGGUAGCGAAAUUCCUUGUCGGGUAAGUUCCGACCUGCACGAAUGGCGUAAUGAUGGCCAGGCUGUCUCCACCCGAGACUCAGUGAAAUUGAACUCGCUGUGAAGAUGCAGUGUACCCGCGGCAAGACGGAAAGACCCCGUGAACCUUUACUAUAGCUUGACACUGAACAUUGAGCCUUGAUGUGUAGGAUAGGUGGGAGGCUUUGAAGUGUGGACGCCAGUCUGCAUGGAGCCGACCUUGAAAUACCACCCUUUAAUGUUUGAUGUUCUAACGUUGACCCGUAAUCCGGGUUGCGGACAGUGUCUGGUGGGUAGUUUGACUGGGGCGGUCUCCUCCUAAAGAGUAACGGAGGAGCACGAAGGUUGGCUAAUCCUGGUCGGACAUCAGGAGGUUAGUGCAAUGGCAUAAGCCAGCUUGACUGCGAGCGUGACGGCGCGAGCAGGUGCGAAAGCAGGUCAUAGUGAUCCGGUGGUUCUGAAUGGAAGGGCCAUCGCUCAACGGAUAAAAGGUACUCCGGGGAUAACAGGCUGAUACCGCCCAAGAGUUCAUAUCGACGGCGGUGUUUGGCACCUCGAUGUCGGCUCAUCACAUCCUGGGGCUGAAGUAGGUCCCAAGGGUAUGGCUGUUCGCCAUUUAAAGUGGUACGCGAGCUGGGUUUAGAACGUCGUGAGACAGUUCGGUCCCUAUCUGCCGUGGGCGCUGGAGAACUGAGGGGGGCUGCUCCUAGUACGAGAGGACCGGAGUGGACGCAUCACUGGUGUUCGGGUUGUCAUGCCAAUGGCACUGCCCGGUAGCUAAAUGCGGAAGAGAUAAGUGCUGAAAGCAUCUAAGCACGAAACUUGCCCCGAGAUGAGUUCUCCCUGACCCUUUAAGGGUCCUGAAGGAACGUUGAAGACGACGACGUUGAUAGGCCGGGUGUGUAAGCGCAGCGAUGCGUUGAGCUAACCGGUACUAAUGAACCGUGAGGCUUAACCUU